Molecule: unclassified non-coding RNA, 391 nt
Filed under: soil metagenome
Description: partial contains 5.8S ribosomal RNA, internal transcribed spacer 2, and large subunit ribosomal RNA
Rfam family: 5.8S ribosomal RNA (bases 1-122)
Source: RNAcentral
GAUGAAGAACGCAGUGAAAUGCGAUACUUGGUGUGAAUUGCAGAAUCCCGUGAACCAUCGAGUCUUUGAACGCAAGUUGCGCCCGAAGCCACUAGGCCGAGGGCACGCCUGCCUGGGCGUCACACGCCGUUGCCCCCCCAUCUACUCCUUCGGGAUUGCGGGGGGGCGGAUGAUGGCCUCCUGUGCGCCUAGCCGCGGGGUUGGCAUAAAUACCAAGUCCUCGGCGACGCACGCCACGACAAUCGGUGGUUGCGAAACCUCGGUUGCCCGUCGUGUGCGUUCGUCGCGCAUCGAGGGCUCGAAAAAAUGCUCGGCUCCGGCUGGGCUUUCAACGCGACCCCAGGUCAGGCGGGGUUACCCGCUGAAUUUAAGCAUAUCAAUAAGCGGAGGA